CUCCCCAGCCGCGGGAGCCCGCCCCCGCUGCGGGUCGCCGGGAGCCUCCCCUGCCGCCCCCUUCGCCGCCUCCCCAGCCGCAGCUUGGCCGCUGCCACACCGCCUCCGCCACGCCGCCACUCCGCGGGCCACGCCUCGAUUCCUUCAUCCUCUUCCCGAGCCGCUGGCGUCCGUCACGCGCCCCCUACUCUUCUCCUCCAACCUGGCCAGUCCCCACACCCGGAGCCCCUGCGGAUCGAGGCGUCUUCCACGCAGAGGACGACGCGGGGAACCUCCAUUGCCCUCCAUUCUGACGGCCGCCCUACAGCUGCCCCGACACGAUGGUUCUCCUCUAUUGUUCUGAUCGAGCGACGUGUUCAUUUUUUAUAUUUUUUCUGUGGCAGAUCAUGACGACGACCCUGACAGGAGAGGAGGAGGAGGACACGGAGAAGAAGGACCGAGAGUUAGACAUGGAUGUGCAUUAUGAGGCAACACGCCGCCGUGUUUGCCCCACCAUCUUCUGAUCUCUUCAGCAUUCCUGUUGUCUUGGGUUUUCUCUGUAAGUUUGGGUCCGUAGGCACACACCCUCAUAAUCUCUGUCGCUCCCUCUAAUUUCUGUGGACAUACAGACACACGCAGUGUUUAGAACGAUGUCCGCUUCAGAGUUUCAGUUCAACUCACCCAGACAGAAAUACAUUCUAUCACUGGCUAAGCAUAGUACGAACUGGGUGGACAUGGAGUCAAGGACAUGGUAAGGAAGUCAAGCAAGUGGUUGAUUUGCUCUCUUCUUCGUUUCACCAUGCUGCACCCCUUCUAGCUUAUUAGUCGCCUCUUUCAUCUCUUUUCACUGUACUAACCUGCCAAUAUUUUCCCAUCUUUGCAACGAUUGACAUGUUUAGUUUUAGUUUUACAGUAGACCAGAAUGUAUGCUGAUCUACAGUGAUUCUUAAUUGUACAUGGUCUUCUCAACUUCAAGGUCAUAACCGAUUCAGUUUUGUUUAUAAUCUAUUUUCCCUAUCACUUUUUAACUCUUGAAUUCGCCAGGCCAACCAUCCUACAGUAGUGUAGGAAUUCAGUUAGCACGUCAUAACAUGUUAUUCUCUUUCGAUAAUGCUUUUGUUGGAUUUUUUAGGAACAAGGUGGCGAAAAAAUAAGUGGUUGUGGAAGCAAUGGUUUGUUUGGGGAGGUGGAGAACGUUUUUAUGUUAUUUUUGGUAGGCAUGAAGACACCCAUUUCUAUUUGUUCAUAGUAAUUCACUCCAGGCUUCUGAUUGGAUCAUUACAUUGAUGUUCCAGCUGCUGGGCUACAUGGAGUUGUUUUUGUUUAAAACAUAUGAUCUUGACGCUACCCAUUUUUCCCUGUCAACAUUAGCUUUCUCUCUGCCAUUCAGAAUUGUUCAGGACAAAACCAUGCAGAUAUAGACCUUUAGUAUCCUUCUCAUUGAUGAAAUUUAUUUCCAUCUAUCCAGUAGGUUCACUGAAGGGGAGCCUUGGCGCAGUGGUAAAGCUGCUGCCUUGUGACCAUGAGGUCACGGGUUCAAGUCCUGGAAACAGCCUCUUGCAGAAAUGUAGGGAAAGACUGCGUACAAUAGACCCAAAGUGGUCGGACCCUUCCCCAGACCCUGCGCAAGCGGGAGCUACAUGCACUGGGGCUGCCCCUUUUUUUUAUCCAGUAGGUUCACUAUAACAGCUAGAUUACUUUUAAUGUAAUUAUGAUUAUUCCACUUUUAAUGUAAUUUAUAGAGCUGACGGGCAAAAGUUGUGCAUGUUUUAAUUAGUUACAAAAGAUAUAGUUGGAACUAAUAAAAUCAUGUUCAUUAUUUGGUAGCUAAGUCAGAACUCGGAGUCGGGACAACUCAACAAGGGAACGAGGAGCCUCAAGGGAGAUACCUGCAUAACACUGGAUGCAGUGAAGAAGGAAUCAGAAAUAUUCUUAUGUUUUAGUGGCGGAAUGGCAAGGCGGCCGGUUAGAUAACCUGGGUCCGUGGCGAGUUGGUGGCUCUCGACUACAAGAAGAUCAUUGAGGCAAUCGAUAGUAGGUUGGUAAAUUGCUAACAAAACAUGUUUAGAACUAUAAAAUUGGCUUUGUUCUGCUAUUUAUUUAUGUUUUGACUAAAAGUAGCAAUUUAUGCUUCCGUAUUAAGAUUUCAACAAGAAUCUAUAAAGGGCUCUAAGGGAGUAGAGGAAUCAAAAGAAAACACCUGGCAGUGCAAAGUGCACUUAGGCAGUAAGGUCAACACAAGACUACUCAUGAAACGAUACACAUACGAACUCCCGGACAUUGCAUACCGGGGAGCUUUCUUCUAUUUAGGAUUUAAGGUACUCGAUCAUUUGUUCUAAGUUCAGUAUUAAGUUAAUUUUUGUUCUGAAUGAUUACAAACACAAUACAUGUUGGUCUAAGAAAAGACUUUUUUAAUUUGUAAUCCCUGUGUAAUACCAAUCGAUUUUGUUUUUUGCACAUCUAGGCUGAUAAUAUGCUCACGAAAAGACAGGAAUGCAGCACCACUCCAAUCUUUAGAAGGUCCCCACCCUGUUCUGGUAUGUUUAUGCUUAUGCAUCUACAGAAUUAUUCGAUGUUAUAUUGAUGUGUGAAUGGUGUAUCGUCCCUGUUCUGGUAUGAAAAUCGGGUUGCUAGGAAUAAUCUCCAUCAUUCCUGGGUUGUGCAUAUGUGUUGUUCUAUAUUCCCCUCUUUAUAAUGCUAUGUGUUGUGGUCAACGCUCCCAAGCUAUGAUAGCUCGCUGCUGGUAGGUUGCCGCCCUGGCCCUCACAUGCUACCAGCAUGUGUUACUGUACAUUUUGCUUUCUUACAUGUCUUGAAUUAUAUUUCAAGAAAGAUGACUAUGAUUUAUAAGCACACGAACACAUCACAAUGUCACAUGGUAAUGCCAUGGUGAUGGCAAUCUAGGGUCAUUUCUGUUAGAGAAGCCCCCUACCCCCUAGCCCCAGAUAUGCAAAUUCUGAGCGUCACCACGAAUAAGUGCAGAGGAAUAGUGGGUAGACCGCAAACCCUAAAUUUCUAGCAAUUCUGAAUACAUUCAUGUGCCAAUGAGGUGUCCAUGUAAUCAUGAUGUUAUAUUAGAUUUUUUAUGUUGUUAUUUCUUACCCUGGUAGUACAACUAUGUAUACAAAACUCCAACACUGC
This 3120-nucleotide long non-coding RNA is filed under the name Triticum aestivum (bread wheat). Its description in RNAcentral is "long non-coding RNA (TAES_LNC027538)". Lineage: Eukaryota; Viridiplantae; Streptophyta; Magnoliopsida; Poales; Poaceae. The record is from RNAcentral.